UACGUAGGGUGCGAGCGUUAAUCGGAAUUACUGGGCGUAAAGCGUGCGCAGGCGGUUUUGUAAGUCCGAUGUGAAAGCCCCGGGCUUAACCUGGGAAUGGCAUUUGGGACUGCAAGGCUUGAGUGCGGAAGAGGAGACUGGAAUUCCUGGUGUAGCAGUGAAAUGCGUAGAUAUCAGGAGGAAUACCGAUGGCGAAGGCAGGUCUCUGGGCUGACACUGACGCUCAUGCACGAAAGCGUGGGGAGCAAACAGG
This 253-nucleotide ribosomal RNA is filed under the name uncultured bacterium. RNAcentral describes it as "partial 16S ribosomal RNA". It matches the Rfam family "Bacterial small subunit ribosomal RNA", at positions 524 to 776 of the family's 1533-position model. The record is from RNAcentral.